RNAcentral lists this transfer RNA (71 nucleotides) under Heterocephalus glaber (naked mole-rat). The stretch from base 7 to 65 matches the Rfam family "tRNA", at positions 7 to 64 of the family's 71-position model. From Rfam's summary of the family: Transfer RNA (tRNA) molecules are approximately 80 nucleotides in length. The record is from Rfam by way of RNAcentral. Lineage: Eukaryota; Metazoa; Chordata; Mammalia; Rodentia; Bathyergidae.
CCGGGUGUGGCUCAGUGGUAGAGUGUGUGCUUAGCAUGCACGAGGCUCUGGGUUCUAUCCUCAGCCCUGAA